AUGAACGCUGGCAGCGUGCCUAAUACAUGCAAGUCGAGCGAACAGACGAGGAGCUUGCUCCUCUGACGUUAGCGGCGGACGGGUGAGUAACACGUGGAUAACCUACCUAUAAGACUGGGAUAACUUCGGGAAACCGGAGCUAAUACCGGAUAAUAUAUUGAACCGCAUGGUUCAAUAGUGAAAAACGGUUUUGCUGUCACUUAUAGAUGGAUCCGCGCCGCAUUAGCUAGUUGGUAAGGUAACGGCUUACCAAGGCGACGAUGCGUAGCCGACCUGAGAGGGUGAUCGGCCACACUGGAACUGAGACACGGUCCAGACUCCUACGGGAGGCAGCAGUAGGGAAUCUUCCGCAAAGGGCGAAAGCCUGACGGAGCAACGCCGCGUGAGUGAUGAAGGUCUUCGGAUCGUAAAACUCUGUUAUUAGGGAAGAACAAAUGUGUAAGUAACUAUGCACGUCUUGACGGUACCUAAUCAGAAAGCCACGGCUAACUACGUG
RNAcentral lists this ribosomal RNA (496 nucleotides) under uncultured bacterium. RNAcentral's name for it is "partial 16S ribosomal RNA". It matches the Rfam family "Bacterial small subunit ribosomal RNA", at positions 29 to 507 of the family's 1533-position model. The record is from RNAcentral.